RNAcentral lists this ribosomal RNA (811 nucleotides) under Clostridioides difficile. Its description in RNAcentral is "partial 23S ribosomal RNA". It matches the Rfam family "Bacterial large subunit ribosomal RNA", at positions 1411 to 2231 of the family's 2925-position model. The record is from RNAcentral. Lineage: Bacteria; Bacillati; Bacillota; Clostridia; Peptostreptococcales; Peptostreptococcaceae.
GUAGGUGAUGGACAACAGGUUGAUAUUCCUGUACUACCGAUAACCGUUUGAGAGAAGGGAUGACACAGUAGGAUAAGCUAAGCACACUGUUGGUUAUGUGUGCCCAAGCAUUGAGGCAGUCAAAGUAGGCAAAUCCGCUUUGAUAAUGCUGGGAUGUGAUGGGGAGCGAAAUUUAGUAGCGAAGUAGCUGAUUUCACACUGUCAAGAAAAGUCUCUAUCGAGGUUAAAGGUACCCGUACCGCAAACCGACACAGGUGGGUGAGGAGAGUAUCCUAAGGCCAGCGAGAGAACUGUUGUUAAGGAACUCGGCAAAAUGACCCCGUAACUUAGGGAUAAGGGGUGCCACCAUCAGGUGGCCGCAGAGAAUAGGCCCAAGCGACUGUUUACCAAAAACAUAGGUUUCUGCUAAGUCGCAAGACGAUGUAUAGGAGCUGACGCCUGCCCGGUGCUGGAAGGUUAAGGGGAUCUGUUAGAGCAAUCGAAGCAGUGAACUUAAGCCCCAGUAAACGGCGGCCGUAACUAUAACGGUCCUAAGGUAGCGAAAUUCCUUGUCGGGUAAGUUCCGACCCGCACGAAAGGCGUAACGAUUUGGGCACUGUCUCAACAACAGACUCGGUGAAAUUGUAAUUCCGGUGAAGAUGCCGGAUACCUGCGACAGGACGGAAAGACCCCAUGGAGCUUUACUGUAGCUUGACAUUGGGUCUUGGUACUACAUGUACAGGAUAGGUGGGAGGCUUUGAAACCAGGACGCCAGUUUUGGCGGAGCCAUCCUUGGGAUACCACCCUUGUAGUACUGGGACUCUAACCAUAG